CGCCAGACUCCUACGGGAGGCAGCAGUGGGGGAUAUUGCACAAUGGGGGCAACCCUGAUGCAGCGACGCCGCGUGAGCGAUGGAGUACUUCGGUAUGUAAAGCUCUGUCAGCAGGGAAGAGAAUGACGGUACCUGACCAAGAAGCCCCGGCUAAAUACGUGCCAGCAGCCGCGGUAAUACGUAGGGGGCGAGCGUUAUCCGGAUUCACUGGGUGUAAAGGGAGCGUAGACGGCCAAGCAAGCCAGGGGUGAAAGCCCGGGGCCCAACCCCGGGACUGCCCUUGGAACUGCUUGGCUGGAGUGCGGGAGGGGCAGGCGGAAUUCCUGGUGUAGCGGUGAAAUGCGUAGAUAUCAGGAGGAACACCGGCGGCGAAGGCGGCCUGCUGGACCGCUACUGACGUUGAGGCUCGAAAGCGUGGGGAGCGAACAGGAUUAGAUACCCUCGUACA
RNAcentral lists this ribosomal RNA (448 nucleotides) under uncultured bacterium. RNAcentral describes it as "partial 16S ribosomal RNA". It matches the Rfam family "Bacterial small subunit ribosomal RNA", at positions 329 to 794 of the family's 1533-position model. The record is from RNAcentral.